Molecule: transfer RNA, 65 nt
Filed under: Occasjapyx japonicus
Lineage: Eukaryota; Metazoa; Arthropoda; Diplura; Dicellurata; Japygidae
Description: tRNA-Leu
Rfam family: tRNA
About the family: Transfer RNA (tRNA) molecules are approximately 80 nucleotides in length. Their secondary structure includes four short double-helical elements and three loops (D, anti-codon, and T loops).
Source: RNAcentral
UCUAUUAUGGCAGAAAAGUGCAUUGGACUUAAGCUCCAAAUAUAAAGUCAAUUCUUUUUAUAGAA